CUGGCAUCAAAAAGUGUCCAUCACUUUGCUCAAAAAAAUUGUGUUUUUUAUCGCAAUUCCGAGAGUAACCACUGGAAAGAGUGCGACGCUCCAGUCUUCAAAACAUCAACAUGUCAACAAUUGAAUGUCUGAGACCCACUUAUCAUCAUAAAACCUGGCAUAAAGAUCUACCUUCUCUGUAAACAGGAAGGCUUGCCAUCUCCAAAGAUGUCUACACUUCAACAAGUAUGUCUAAUAAACUGGCCUGUGAUUAAGG
Asterias rubens (European starfish) is the source of this 256-nucleotide long non-coding RNA. RefSeq lists it as uncharacterized. Lineage: Eukaryota; Metazoa; Echinodermata; Asteroidea; Forcipulatida; Asteriidae. The transcript has 3 exons. The record is from RefSeq and is a predicted model, not a curated record.